AUGAACGCUGGCGGCGUGCCUAAUACAUGCAAGUCGAGCGAACAGACGAGGAGCUUGCUCCUCUGACGUUAGCGGCGGACGGGUGAGUAACACGUGGAUAACCUACCUAUAAGACUGGGAUAACUUCGGGAAACCGGAGCUAAUACCGGAUAAUAUAUUGAACCGCAUGGUUCAAUAGUGAAAGACGGUUUUGCUGUCACUUAUAGAUGGAUCCGCGCCGCAUUAGCUAGUUGGUAAGGUAACGGCUUACCAAGGCAACGAUGCGUAGCCGACCUGAGAGGGUGAUCGGCCACACUGGAACUGAGACGCGGUCCAGACUCCUACGGGAGGCAGCAGUAGGUAAUCUUCCGCAAUGGGCGAAAGCUUGACGGAGCAACGCCGCGUGAGUGAUGAAGGUCUUCGGAUCGUAAAACUCUGUUAUUGGGGAAGAACAAAUGUGUAAGUAACUAUGCACGUCUUGACGGUACCUAAUCAGAAAGCCACGGCUAACUACGU
This 495-nucleotide ribosomal RNA is filed under the name uncultured bacterium. RNAcentral describes it as "partial 16S ribosomal RNA". It matches the Rfam family "Bacterial small subunit ribosomal RNA", at positions 29 to 506 of the family's 1533-position model. The record is from RNAcentral.